This 427-nucleotide ribosomal RNA is filed under the name uncultured bacterium. Its description in RNAcentral is "partial 16S ribosomal RNA". It matches the Rfam family "Bacterial small subunit ribosomal RNA", at positions 329 to 773 of the family's 1533-position model. The record is from RNAcentral.
CUCCAGACUCCUACGGGAGGCAGCAGUGGGGGAUAUUGCACAAUGGGGGGAACCCUGAUGCAGCGACGCCGCGUGGGUGAAGAAGCGCCUCGGCGCGUAAAGCCCUGUCAGCAGGGAAGAAAAUGACGGUACCUGAAGAAGAAGCCCCGGCUAACUACGUGCCAGCAGCCGCGGUAAUACGUAGGGGGCAAGCGUUAUCCGGAUUUACUGGGUGUAAAGGGAGCGUAGACGGCAGCGCAAGUCUGAAGUGAAAUGCCGGGGCUUAACCCCGGAACUGCUUUGGAAACUGAGCAGCUAGAGUGCAGGAGAGGUAAGUGGAAUUCCUAGUGUAGCGGUGAAAUGCGUAGAUAUUAGGAGGAACACCAGUGGCGAAGGCGGCUUACUGGACUGUAACUGACGUUGAGGCUCGAAAGCGUGGGGAGCAAAC